This 914-nucleotide ribosomal RNA is filed under the name uncultured marine archaeon. RNAcentral describes it as "bacterial SSU rRNA". It matches the Rfam family "Archaeal small subunit ribosomal RNA", at positions 1 to 922 of the family's 1478-position model. The record is from RNAcentral.
UUCCGGUUGAUCCUGCCGGACCUGACUGCUAUCGGAUUGAUACUAAGCCAUGCGAGUCUUUGUAGUAAUACAAGGCAUACGGCUCAGUAACGCGUAGUCAACCUACCCUAUGGACAAGAAUAAUCUCGGGAAACUGAGCAUAAUUCUUGAUAGACCAUAAUGCCUGGAAUGGUUUAUGGUUAAAAUGAUUCGUCGCCAUAGGAUGGGACUGCGGCCUAUCAGCUUGUUGGUGAGGUAAUGGCCCACCAAGGCGAUUACAGGUACGGGCUCUGAGAGGAGAAGCCCGGAGAUGGGUACUGAGACAAGGACCCAGGCCCUAUGGGGCGCAGCAGGCGAGAAAACUUUGCAAUGUGCGAAAGCACGACAAGGUUAGUCCGAGUGAUUUCUGCUAAAGAGAUCUUUUGCUAGUUAUAAAACCACUAGUGAAUAAGGGGUGGGCAAGUUCUGGUGUCAGCCGCCGCGGUAAAACCAGCACCUCAAGUGGUCAGGAUGAUUAUUGGGCCUAAAGCAUCCGUAGCCGGCUCUGUAAGUUUUCGGUUAAAUCUAUGCGCUCAACGUAUGGGCUGCCGAAAAUACUGUAGAGAUAGGGAGUGGGAGAGGUAGACGGUACUCGGUAGGAAGGGGUAAAAUCCUUUGAUCUAUCGAUGACCACCUGUGGCGAAGGCGGUCUACCAGAACACGUUCGACGGUGAGGGAUGAAAGCUGGGGGAGCAAACCGGAUUAGAUACCCGGGUAGUCCCAGCUGUAAACGAUGCAGACUCGAUGAUGCAAUGGCAUAGAGCUAUUGCAGUAUCGCAGGGAAGCCGUUAAGUCUGCCGCCUGGGAAGUACGUACGCAAGUAUGAAACUUAAAGGAAUUGGCGGGGGAGCACCACAAGGGGUGAAGCCUGCGGUUCAAUUGGAUUCAACGCCGGG